RNAcentral lists this ribosomal RNA (345 nucleotides) under uncultured cyanobacterium. RNAcentral describes it as "bacterial SSU rRNA". It matches the Rfam family "Bacterial small subunit ribosomal RNA", at positions 376 to 735 of the family's 1533-position model. Lineage: Bacteria; Bacillati; Cyanobacteriota. The record is from RNAcentral.
CGAAAGCCUGACGGAGCAAUACCGCGUGAGGGAGGAAGGCUCUUGGGUUGUAAACCUCUUUUCUCAGGGAAGAAAAAAAUGACGGUACCUGAGGAAUAAGCAUCGGCUAACUCCGUGCCAGCAGCCGCGGUAAUACGGAGGAUGCAAGCGUUAUCCGGAAUGAUUGGGCGUAAAGGGUCCGCAGGUGGCAUUGUAUGUCUGCUGUUAAAGAGUUUGGCUCAACCAAAUCAAAGCAGUGGAAACUACAAAGCUAGAGUAUGGUCGGGGCAGAGGGAAUUCCUGGUGUAGCGGUGAAAUGCGUAGAUAUCAGGAAGAACACCRGUGGCGAAGGCGCUCUGCUAGGCC